CCUACGGGAGGCAGCAGUGAGGAAUAUUGGUCAAUGGACGAGAGUCUGAACCAGCCAAGUAGCGUGAAGGAUGACUGCUCUAUGGGUUGUAAACUUCUUUUAUAUGGGAAUAAAAUGUUCCACGUGUGGGAUUUUGUAUGUAUCAUAUGAAUAAGGAUCGGCUAACUCCGUGCCAGCAGCCGCGGUAAUACGGAGGAUCCGAGCGUUAUCCGGAUUUAUUGGGUUUAAAGGGAGCGUAGGUGGAUUGUUAAGUCAGUUGUGAAAGUUUGCGGCUCAACCGUAAAAUUGCAGUUGAAACUGGCAGUCUUGAGUACAGUAGAGGUGGGCGGAAUUCGUGGUGUAGCGGUGAAAUGCUUAGAUAUCACGAAGAACUCCGAUUGCGAAGGCAGCUCACUGGACUGCAACUGACACUGAGGUUCGAAAGCGUGGGUAGCAAACAGGAUUAGAUACCCUAGUAGUC
RNAcentral lists this ribosomal RNA (460 nucleotides) under uncultured bacterium. RNAcentral's name for it is "partial 16S ribosomal RNA". It matches the Rfam family "Bacterial small subunit ribosomal RNA", at positions 338 to 795 of the family's 1533-position model. The record is from RNAcentral.